RNAcentral lists this unclassified non-coding RNA (405 nucleotides) under fungal sp. RNAcentral's name for it is "partial internal transcribed spacer region". The stretch from base 1 to 46 matches the Rfam family "Eukaryotic small subunit ribosomal RNA", at positions 1786 to 1831 of the family's 1831-position model. The record is from RNAcentral. Lineage: Eukaryota; Fungi.
AAGUCGUAACAAGGUUUCCGUAGGUGAACCUGCGGAAGGAUCAUUAACACGUUAUCCACGUAUCAUCAACCGUCACAUUGUUAUUUCUACCUCUGUGCAGAAUGAGCAGCAGCAAGAUUGAGUUAUGGAGAGGACUGCGAAAGCGUCUGGCUCGAUUUGCUAUUGGAUCCAGAGGGCUUGCUUUUUGGCAGGUUCCGCGGCGCCUACUGUUGUAUCUGUCUCGUGGAGGCCCCGCUUGCCGCGCAAGUCUCUUUCCAUGAAGUGCGCGGGGAGUAACUUAUUCACAAUUUUAACCCCUUUUUGCUAGUUGACUUUUAUAUGUUGUGCUUUGCUUCGGUAAGGUGCACACGUUUAAUUAUUUGAACGUUAAAAAUACAACUCUUAGCAAUGGAUAUCUAGGUUCUC